This 117-nucleotide ribosomal RNA is filed under the name filamentous cyanobacterium CCP2. Lineage: Bacteria; Bacillati; Cyanobacteriota. The record is from RNAcentral.
CCUGGUGUCUAUGGCGGUGUGGAACCACGCUUAUCCAUCUCGAACUGAGUUGUGAAACGCACCCGCGGCAAAGAUAGUUGGACGGCAGCGUCCCGCAAAAAUAGCUCGAUGCCAGGG